ACGGGAUCCUUCGGGGUCUAGUGGCGCACGGGUGCGUAACGCGUGGGAAUCUGCCCUUGGGUUCGGAAUAACAGUUAGAAAUGACUGCUAAUACCGGAUGAUGACUUCGGUCCAAAGAUUUAUCGCCCAGGGAUGAGCCCGCGUAGGAUUAGGUAGUUGGUGGGGUAAAGGCCUACCAAGCCGACGAUCCUUAGCUGGUCUGAGAGGAUGAUCAGCCACACUGGGACUGAGACACGGCCCAGACUCCUACGGGAGGCAGCAGUGGGGAAUAUUGGGCAAUGGGCGAAAGCCUGAUCCACCAAUGCCGCGUGAGUGAUGAAGGCCUUAGGGUCGUAAAGCUCUUUUACCCGGGAUGAUAAUGACAGUACCGGGAGAAUAAGCUCCGGCUAACUCCGUGCCAGCAGCCGCGGUAAUACGGAGGGAGCUAGCGUUGUUCGGAAUUACUGGGCGUAAAGCGCGCGUAGGCGGUUAUUCAAGUCAGAGGUGAAAGCCCGGGGCUCAACCCCGGAACGGCCUUUGAAACUAGGUAACUAGAAUCUUGGAGAGGUCAGUGGGAUUCCGAGUGUAGAGGUGAGAUUCGUAGAUAUUCGGAAGAACACCAGUGGCGAAGGCGACUGACU
This 620-nucleotide ribosomal RNA is filed under the name uncultured bacterium. RNAcentral's name for it is "bacterial SSU rRNA". It matches the Rfam family "Bacterial small subunit ribosomal RNA", at positions 66 to 730 of the family's 1533-position model. The record is from RNAcentral.